RNAcentral lists this ribosomal RNA (104 nucleotides) under uncultured bacterium. Its description in RNAcentral is "partial 16S ribosomal RNA". It matches the Rfam family "Bacterial small subunit ribosomal RNA", at positions 1379 to 1482 of the family's 1533-position model. The record is from RNAcentral.
CCUUGUACACACCACCCGUCACACCAUGGGAGUGGGUUGUACCAGAAGUGGUUAGUUUAACCGCAAGGAGAACGACCACCACGGUAUGAUUCAUGACUGGGGUG